CUGCAGGGCGCCGAGUUUGCCCAGGCUGAGGCGGCCGAGGUGGACAGCGGAGCCGCCAUGGACACGUCCGAGCCCGCCAAGGAGGAGGACGACUACGACGUGAUGCAGGACCCGGAAUUCCUGCAGAGCGUCCUGGAAAACCUUCCCGGCGUGGAUCCCAACAACGAGGCCAUCCGCAACGCCAUGGGAUCCCUGGCCUCCCAGGCCGCCCGGGAAAACCGGGAAAACAACCGGGAAAACAACCGGGAAAACCGGAAGGAGGAGGAGAAGAAAUGAAAUCCCCGGGAAAAAAAAAAAACGGAAUUAAAAGGAAUUUAUUUCCCUUGGGAAUUGUGGAUAUUAAAGGAUUAAAAGGA
Molecule: non-coding RNA, 356 nt
Organism: Cyanistes caeruleus (blue tit)
Lineage: Eukaryota; Metazoa; Chordata; Aves; Passeriformes; Paridae
Source: RefSeq, a predicted model, not a curated record